This 274-nucleotide ribosomal RNA is filed under the name uncultured bacterium. RNAcentral describes it as "partial small subunit ribosomal RNA". It matches the Rfam family "Bacterial small subunit ribosomal RNA", at positions 32 to 287 of the family's 1533-position model. The record is from RNAcentral.
AGGACGAAACGCUGGCGGCGUGCUUAACACAUGCAAGUCGAGGGCACUUUGGGGGCAACUCUGGAGUGACCGGCGAACGGGUGCGUAACACGUGAGCGACCUUGCCUCGUGGUGGGGGAUAGCCGGCCCAACGGCCGGGUAAUACCGCAUAUGGUAGUUUCUUCGCAUGGGGAGACUAGCAAAGCUGAGUAGCAAUACUUGGCGCCACAGGGGGGGCUCGCGGCCUAUCAGCUAGUUGGGGGGGUAAUGGCCCACCAAGGCGACGACGGGUAGC